UUAUCUUUAUCUUAUCUUGAUUUUGAAGAACUGUUGUAAAUAAAAUCUAGAUCUAGACUCUAGCUACAUGGCGCACAAGACAAGUGGAUCAUAUUUUUCAAUACAUUAGAUUCAAUAGUUGAUAAAAGUAGAUAUCUAAAGAUUGUCAAUAGGUUCUCUGAAUCCCAGUCAAGCUUCUAUAGAGGAAUCCUGAGCGUGAGAAGACUGCGAGCCCUCAAGUUGCAUCGAAGAUGCAGAUUUUAAAGUUUACGAAGACCACUCAGGUAACUUCAAAUGAAUCUUUUGCUGAUGGAGAUGAGCCAUUAGCACCUACCUAUGGAUAAAAGAUAUCUUUUGGAGAGAGAACACAGACAUAGAAACAAAAACAACCAAAUCCUGGCUGCCUGGUCAUGUUAUGUUCUUUGGAGGGCCAUUGCGAUGGUGCGAGUUCGAACCACCCCAACAAUAUCCUCUGUCGACCUGCUGGAAGUUUGAGCUUGCUGGAAUAAUAAUUUCUGAAAAAACAUCAGAACUCAGCUCAUAAAAGAGAUUUGUUUCACAUUCAAAAUCAACCAG
This is a long non-coding RNA of Biomphalaria glabrata, 555 nucleotides long. RefSeq lists it as uncharacterized. The transcript has 3 exons. The record is from RefSeq and is a predicted model, not a curated record. NCBI's taxonomy places the organism in Eukaryota, Metazoa, Mollusca, Gastropoda, Planorbidae.